AUUGAACGCUGGCGGCAGGCCUAACACAUGCAAGUCGAGCGGAUGAAGGGAGCUUGCUCCUGGAUUCAGCGGCGGACGGGUGAGUAAUGCCUAGGAAUCUGCCUGGUAGUGGGGGAUAACGUCCGGAGACGGGCGCUAAUACCGCAUACGUCCUGAGGGAGAAAGUGGGGGAUCUUCGGACCUCACGCUAUCAGAUGAGCCUAGGUCGGAUUAGCUAGUUGGUGGGGUAAAGGCCUACCAAGGCGACGAUCCGUAACUGGUCUGAGAGGAUGAUCAGUCACACUGGAACUGAGACACGGUCCAGACUCCUACGGGAGGCAGCAGUGGGGAAUAUUGGACAAUGGGCGAAAGCCUGAUCCAGCCAUGCCGCGUGUGUGAAGAAGGUCUUCGGAUUGUAAAGCACUUUAAGUUGGGAGGAAGGGCAGUAAGUUAAUACCUUGCUGUUUUGACGUUACCAACAGAAUAAGCACCGGCUAACUUCGU
Molecule: ribosomal RNA, 483 nt
Filed under: uncultured bacterium
Lineage: Bacteria
Description: partial 16S ribosomal RNA
Rfam family: Bacterial small subunit ribosomal RNA
Source: RNAcentral